Molecule: ribosomal RNA, 301 nt
Filed under: uncultured bacterium
Lineage: Bacteria
Description: partial 16S ribosomal RNA
Rfam family: Bacterial small subunit ribosomal RNA
Source: RNAcentral
CAGCAGCCGCGGUAAUACGGAGGGUGCAAGCGUUAAUCGGAAUUACUGGGCGUAAAGCGCACGCAGGCGGUUUGUUAAGUCAGAUGUGAAAUCCCCGAGCUUAACUUGGGAACUGCAUUUGAAACUGGCAAGCUUGAGUCUUGUAGAGGGGGGUAGAAUUCCAGGUGUAGCGGUGAAAUGCGUAGAGAUCUGGAGGAAUACCGGUGGCGAAGGCGGCCCCCUGGACAAAGACUGGCGCUCAGGUGCGAAAGCGUGGGGAGCAAACAGGAUUAGAUACCCCUGUAGUCCCUGUCUCUUAUAA